This is a non-coding RNA of Cricetulus griseus (Chinese hamster), 73 nucleotides long. Lineage: Eukaryota; Metazoa; Chordata; Mammalia; Rodentia; Cricetidae. The record is from Rfam.
GUAGAGGUGGUUUGGUGGUUAAGAGCACUAGCUGCUCUUCCAGAGAAUCUGGGUUCAAUUCCCAGCAUAUACA